RNAcentral lists this ribosomal RNA (253 nucleotides) under uncultured bacterium. RNAcentral describes it as "partial 16S ribosomal RNA". It matches the Rfam family "Bacterial small subunit ribosomal RNA", at positions 524 to 776 of the family's 1533-position model. The record is from RNAcentral.
UACGUAGGGGGCUAGCGUUGUCCGGAUUUAUUGGGCGUAAAGAGCGUGUAGGCGGCCAGAUAGGUCCGUUGUGAAAACUCGAGGCUCAACCUCGAGACGCCGAUGGAAACCAUCUAGCUAGAGUCCGGAAGAGGAGAGUGGAAUUCCUGGUGUAGCGGUGAAAUGCGCAGAUAUCAGGAAGAACACCCGUGGCUAAGGCGGCUCUCUAGUACGGUACUGACGCUGAGACGCGAAAGCGUGGGGAGCGAACAGG